RNAcentral lists this long non-coding RNA (834 nucleotides) under Fukomys damarensis (Damara mole-rat). RNAcentral's name for it is "lncRNA (ENSFDAG00000029206.1)". Lineage: Eukaryota; Metazoa; Chordata; Mammalia; Rodentia; Bathyergidae. The record is from RNAcentral.
UCAAACUUUAUGGCUUAAAGGAACACAUUUGUCAUUUCCCAGGUUUGGAUAUGGCCCUUCCUAGUUCUCUGCUCAGGAGCUCACAGCCAGAAGCCAAGAUAAAAGCUGGACCAGUCACCUCCUUUGAGACUGUUGUCCUUUUUCAAGCUCAGUGGUGGUCAGCAGAAUUCAAGACAGAGGCCCUCAGCUCCAGAGACCCCACUGUCCUCUGAUGCGUGGCACUCUCCAGUGACUCUUCAUGGUGUGACACUCGGAUCCUUCAAGACUAGUGAAGAUCUCUCCUGUGCAUGCAGACAAGAUGGAAUCAUUUUGAGGGGAGGUGAUUGGAUGAGGUGUAUCACUCAGGGUGGGCGUGGAGGACCAUUUUAGAAUUCUGCCACCUGUGUCUCUUGUGAGUUGAACCAGCUGAAGGCUCUCCUCGAUCUCUCAGGAUCCAAGUGAAUAUCAGUGGGCAAGAGGCAGAGAACAGGAAGUCAAGACAUCACUGUGUUGCUGCUGGCAGCAGCAGGUUAUGGACCCCAUCCUGUGAUGUGUCAAAUGCGUGUGACUCCCCUCAGACCCUCUUGACGUUUGUCUGCACACCCAGGUGGGUGCGUUUGGAUUCCUCCAGGUGGCAGUGGCUGCCCUGGAGUCACUUCUGCAGGAAGGAGGCUCACCCUGGAAUAGCUGAUCUACAUUUCCGUAGGAUCAAUGCUGUGGAGACUGCAUACACUGAGUUCUCUGGUUGAAAGAAAGAAGCUUAAGCUGACUUCUGAACUCUGAGAUCCCACUGCAGAGAGGUAAGAAAAUUAAGAUUACUUUUUGGGUACUUGUGUGACUCAGCAGUCUGCCUUG